RNAcentral lists this ribosomal RNA (346 nucleotides) under uncultured Fusibacter sp. RNAcentral describes it as "bacterial SSU rRNA". It matches the Rfam family "Bacterial small subunit ribosomal RNA", at positions 1036 to 1382 of the family's 1533-position model. Lineage: Bacteria; Bacillati; Bacillota; Clostridia; Eubacteriales; Fusibacteraceae. The record is from RNAcentral.
AGGUGGUGCAUGGUUGUCGUCAGCUCGUGUCGUGAGAUGUUGGGUUAAGUCCCGCAACGAGCGCAACCUUGUGUUUAGUUGCAAACAGGUCAAGCUGUGCACUCUAGACAGACUGCCGCGGACAACACGGAGGAAGGUGGGGAUGACGUCAAAUCAUCAUGCCCCUUAUGAUCUGGGCUACACACGUGCUACAAUGGCCGGUACAACGGGCAGCGAAGGAGCGAUCCGGAGCGAAUCCUAAAAAGCCGGUCCCAGUUCGGAUUGCAGGCUGAAACUCGCCUACAUGAAGUUGGAGUUGCUAGUAAUCGCGAAUCAGAAUGUCGCGGUGAAUGCGUUCCCGGGUCUU